This 93-nucleotide non-coding RNA is filed under the name Bacillus andreraoultii. RNAcentral describes it as "Purine riboswitch". It matches the Rfam family "Purine riboswitch aptamer". From Rfam's summary of the family: Riboswitches are metabolite binding domains within certain messenger RNAs that serve as precision sensors for their corresponding targets. The record is from RNAcentral. Lineage: Bacteria; Bacillati; Bacillota; Bacilli; Caryophanales; Bacillaceae.
AAAUUAUUAUGCAUUCUCUCAUAUAAUCAUGGGGAUAUGGCCCAUAAGUUUCUACCCAAUGACCGAAAAUCGUUGGACUAUGAGAGAAAGUGG